Molecule: ribosomal RNA, 383 nt
Filed under: Strombidium sp.
Lineage: Eukaryota; Ciliophora; Spirotrichea; Strombidiidae
Description: partial small subunit ribosomal RNA
Rfam family: Eukaryotic small subunit ribosomal RNA
Source: RNAcentral
AUUCCAGCUCCAAUAGCGUAUAUUAAAGUUGUUGCAGUUAAAAAGCUCGUAGUUGGAUUUCUGGGAGGGUGCCAAUGUCCGUCGUCGUACGUGUUGCAGCGGCGCCCUUCCAUCCUUCUGUUAACGACUUUGGGCAUUCACUUGCCGGAGUCGGGCUCAGAUAUUUUACCUUGAGAAAAUUAGAGUGUUUCAGGCAGGCUAGGCCGGAAUACAUUAGCAUGGAAUAAUGGAAUAGGACUACGGUCCCUUUGUUGGUUUGAGGGACUGCAGUAAUGAUUGAUAGGGAUAGUUGGGGGUGCUAGUAUUCAGCGGCCAGAGGUGAAAUUCUUGGAUUCGCUGAAGACUAACUUAUGCGAAAGCAUUCACCAAGGAUGUCUUCAUCA